UACGUAGGUGGCAAGCGUUAUCCGGAAUUAUUGGGCGUAAAGCGCGCGCAGGUGGUUUCUUAAGUCUGAUGUGAAAGCCCACGGCUCAACCGUGGAGGGUCAUUGGAAACUGGGAGACUUGAGUGCAGAAGAGGAAAGUGGAAUUCCAUGUGUAGCGGUGAAAUGCGUAGAGAUUGGGAGGAACACCAGUGGCGAAGGCGACUUUCUGGACUGUAACUGACGCUGAGGCACGAAAGCGUGGGGAGCAAACAGGAUUAGAUACCCCCGUAGUCC
This 273-nucleotide ribosomal RNA is filed under the name uncultured Bacillus sp. RNAcentral describes it as "partial 16S ribosomal RNA". It matches the Rfam family "Bacterial small subunit ribosomal RNA", at positions 524 to 796 of the family's 1533-position model. The record is from RNAcentral. Lineage: Bacteria; Bacillati; Bacillota; Bacilli; Caryophanales; Bacillaceae.